RNAcentral lists this ribosomal RNA (413 nucleotides) under uncultured bacterium. Its description in RNAcentral is "bacterial SSU rRNA". It matches the Rfam family "Bacterial small subunit ribosomal RNA", at positions 505 to 916 of the family's 1533-position model. The record is from RNAcentral.
GUGCCAGCAGCCGCGGUAAUACGAGGGGGGCAAGCGUUGUUCGGAAUUACUGGGCGUAAAGGGCGCGUAGGCGGUCUGACAAGUCUUCCGUGAAAGCCCACGGCUCAACCGUGGAACUGCGGGGGAAACUGCCAGACUUGAGUCCGGGAGGGGAGAGUGGAAUUCCCAGUGUAGCGGUGAAAUGCGCAGAUAUUGGGAGGAACACCGGAGGCGAAGGCGUCUCUCUGGACCGGUACUGACGCUGAGGCGCGAAAGCCAGGGGAGCGAACGGGAUUAGAUACCCCGGUAGUCCUGGCCGUAAACGAUGAGCACUGGAUGUGGCGGGUAUUGACCCCUGCCGUGUCGGCGCUAACGCAUUAAGUGCUCCGCCUGGGGAGUACGGUCGCAAGGCUGAAACUCAAAUAAAUUGACGG